Long non-coding RNA from Stegostoma tigrinum, 990 nucleotides. RefSeq lists it as uncharacterized. Lineage: Eukaryota; Metazoa; Chordata; Chondrichthyes; Orectolobiformes; Stegostomatidae. The transcript is spliced from 3 exons. The record is from RefSeq and is a predicted model, not a curated record.
ACAGCAAGUAACAAAAAGGGCCCUGGUGAUAAAAUUGCAGGUGGUAUAAGUAAAAGGAAAGAAAGGGAAGAUACAUGUUGUAAAGCGUUUUGAGCGUGAUGAGAGAACAUGUGACAUUGCUCGUGCAACAGGAAUGAAGGAGUCUACGUUACACACCAUUAGAGACAAUGCAGGAAAGAUUAAAGCAAGCUGUAUUGCUGGAACAAGUCUGAGUGCUAGCAAAUUGUGAGGUUGUGGACAAAGGAACUUGAGGAGAUGGAGUGGUUUCUAAGUGUGUGGAUAGAAGAACAAACAACAAAGUGGUCUCAGGCCACCUUUCUCACUAUAAAAGAGAAAGCCUUAUCAUUGAAGAUCUAACAAAACAAGCCAAAAAUCCUGCAGAUGCAUCUGCCUUUAGUGAUAACAGAGGCUGGUUUGCCGGUUUUAAGAACCACUGUGCUUUUCAUAAUGUAAAGUUAUGUGGUGAAGCUGCACAUUGACGAAGCAGGCUACAACUUAGAUCAAAUUUUCAAUUUGGAUGAGACAGUUUAUGCUGGAGCCAAAUGCCAUCAAGAACCAAGAAACAGUCAGAAGACAAUGAACCACAGCAAUCCACUUCUAGGUUAACUAUAUUUUGCCUGAAACCUGCAAACAUGAUUUCAAAUCAAACAUUUACGUGGCCAAUCCAAAGGUGAAGGAAGCUGAACAGCUUGUGGAGUGAAAAAAAUGGUCAGAUGCCUUUGGACCACUGGAAGUGCAGAACCAUCUACAAGAUGCACCGCAGAAAUUCAUCAAAGUCACUUUGUGAACACCUUCCAAGCACUUGAACACUACCAUCAAGAAGGACAAGGAAACAGCAGAUAUCACAAAGACAUUCUUCAUCCUGACAGGAAUUAUAUUAUUGUAUUUUUUUCUACUCAUUUGUGGGAUGUGGACUGGCCAGCAUUUCUUGCCCAUCUCUAUUUGCCCUUGAGAAGGUGGUGGUGUGCUGCCUUCUUGAACCGCUGCAGU